UGGGGAAUAUUGCACAAUGGAGGGAACUCUGAUGCAGCGACGCCGCGUGAGUGAUGAAGGAAUUCGUUUCGUAAAACUCUGUUCUAUGGGAAGAAAAGGACUGUACCAUAGGAGAAAGCUCCGGCUAAAUACGUGCCAGCAGCCGCGGUAAUACGUAUGGAGCGAGCGUUGUCCGGAAUUAUUGGGCGUAAAGGGUGCGCAGGCGGCUUUACAAGUUGGAUGUGAAAUAUUGUGGCUCAACCACAAACGUGCAUCCAAAACUGAAAAGCUUGAGUUAAGGAGAGGUAAGUGGAAUUCCUGGUGUAGAGGUGGAAUGCGUAGAUAUCAGGAGGAAUACCGGUGGGGAAGGCGACUUACUGGACUUAAACUGACACUCAGGCACGAAAGCGUGGGGGGCAAACAGG
Molecule: ribosomal RNA, 404 nt
Filed under: Fusobacteriota bacterium
Lineage: Bacteria; Fusobacteriati; Fusobacteriota
Description: Fusobacteria bacterium partial 16S ribosomal RNA
Rfam family: Bacterial small subunit ribosomal RNA
Source: RNAcentral